Molecule: long non-coding RNA, 1034 nt
Organism: Setaria italica (foxtail millet)
Lineage: Eukaryota; Viridiplantae; Streptophyta; Magnoliopsida; Poales; Poaceae
Exons: 3
Source: RefSeq, a predicted model, not a curated record
GUAUAAAUUGUGGAUGAACACAUAACUUGUCUGCUCUCCUGGUCAAGGGCGUACCCAUAAAUUCUGUCUGGGCAGCUGGCUUGCUCUGCAUCAGUUAUUAGCAUCUUAACCAUGCCUCUGAAGUGGCCAUGAGACAUGAGCUCUGCAACACAUAAACCUCUGAAGGGGUUACAUCCUAACCUCAGACCAUCUUGCUACAGCCUGCCCCCAGCUGCCAGUGACACUACUACACAACCCAUCAUACGCCGGAACACAGGAAAGCUUCUCACAUCCUUGUCAAGAUAGACGGCAACUCCACGACCAGAAACCAAGCUGCUGGCGUCCUUAUCACCAGCACAACACAAUCUAUUCUCCCGGCCGGCGCUUGAUUCUUUUUCCCUCAUGCAGAGGCCAGGUGAUCUGAUCCCGAUCACAUCGCCUAAAGAAGCUCGCGUGUGCGAUGAGCCGAUGAGUGAUGAGGAGUACGAGCGUGUUUGCUGCGCAAUUCAAAGAGCCUGCCGAUGUUGUUGGAGCACCGGGCCGGGCCGGGCCCCAUUCCGGCGGAGGCAAUGAAUAGGGGUGAAUGGACGGACGGGUACUUGGCCUUAAAAGUGACGCCAGCGACCUCGUCGUCGUGUUGACAGGACGCGCGCGCAUGUGGCUCCUCUGACAACGAAGCUUCUCUGCCUGCCGUGGAUUCAGGGGUGUGUGUCCACUGCCUCCUGUUGCUGUUGUGUUGUGGUGCCACGACGAGUUCUUGAUCUGGGACUGCGAUCUCAUUGCCACAAGAUUUGAUCGAGAGCUCCUGCUGCUUUUUUCCACUUCCAAGGAUCCUCCCAUUGUGGUGGUGCUCCGUUCGGCUACUGAAUGUCCAUCAUAAUAAAAUUCUCCUUUGAGAUUUAUCACCUCCACCAGAAAUCCUAUGAGAGCUUCUUGGAUUGUCAAAAGCCUCUCCUUAUCCAUGAGUUCUUCUCUAAUCCGCAACAUCUGUAAUUUGGAAAUAUGUGAAUGUUACAUGAACAAUUAAAUAUAAAGAGCUAGAAAAUAAUUAAUUA